GAAAAAAGUCGGUUGUGGUGUGCCGGAACCGAUGUCGUGAUAGGCCUGUAAUAAAAGAGGGCAAAAAUAGAUGCCUGCCAGAAACUUAAACAAUCAACAAAACCUUAAUUGCCUAGCUGUAUGGUAAAUGCCGAGCGAGUAGUUAGGUGCCUGGCACUUUAACCGGCACUCUAAAUUGUGAAAGGGGGGAAGUAAAGUCUGUUAAACGUGUUGGCCAACUAGGGAAAACUAAGUGUGGGGUAGAGAGGGUAACCAAUAGAUUGCAUGAAUAGGUGAGACUUCCUGAGACAAUGCUGCAAUAUGAUGAGGGGGCUGUGGGAAAUAUGUGGGACCCCAAGAAACUGUGAAAGCAGGUAUAGUGGCUCGACGACUACAUUGCAUAGUUACUUAGCCAAAAAGAGAC
Non-coding RNA from Pelobates cultripes (western spadefoot toad), 403 nucleotides. The record is from the annotation of a GenBank genome assembly. NCBI's taxonomy places the organism in Eukaryota, Metazoa, Chordata, Amphibia, Anura, Pelobatidae.